RNAcentral lists this ribosomal RNA (117 nucleotides) under Periophthalmus magnuspinnatus. The record is from RNAcentral. Lineage: Eukaryota; Metazoa; Chordata; Actinopteri; Gobiiformes; Gobiidae.
UACUGGGCCAAACCUGCUUGUCAAAGCCUCAUCCUGUCAGAUCUCAGAAGCUAAGCAGGUCUGGGCCUGGUCAGUACUUACACAGGAGCCCGCUGGGAGUAUCAGGUGCCACAGUUG